Piliocolobus tephrosceles (Ugandan red Colobus) is the source of this 1860-nucleotide long non-coding RNA. Lineage: Eukaryota; Metazoa; Chordata; Mammalia; Primates; Cercopithecidae. The record is from Ensembl.
ACUUAUGAGCAAAUAAUUAAAUAUGUCAAACGUAACAAAAACAGCUUUAUUGACUGUAGUAAUAAUAGUAGUAACAAUUUUAAUGAAAAAAAAGAAGAAGGACAAAAAAAAGAAGAAAAAAAAAAAAAAGAAGAAGGACAAAAAAAAGAAGAAAAAAAAAAAAAAACAAUUAUAGAUAAUAAAUUUAUUAUGAUAAGAGGAAGAGUGGAAAAGAAAGAUAAACAAUCCAAGCGUAUUUUCUUACAAAUUAGGCAAAAUGGUGGCACAUAUAUUACUUGUGUUUAUGAGAAAAAUGAUAAUUGCAAUAGUUGUAGCAGUGGAAAAAGCAAAAAUGUACUCUCAAAACUACAGCAAGACCAAAUGUAUAUAUAUAUCAAAAAUAUAAAAAGCGAAAGUGUAGUUGAUAUUGUAGGUCAAAUAAAAAUACAUGGAGAACUUAUAAAUUACAAAGUACCAUACUUAGAAAGUUUGUUAAACAAAAAAUGUUUAGAAAUUGUUGUUAAAAAAAUAAAUUGUAUCUCUCAAUCUUUUAGUUUUAUUCCUAUAAUAAUAAAUGAUAAUAAAAAUAUAAUUACUAACAGUAUAAACAGUUUUACGGAUAUACAUAAAAAUGUACAGAAUGGUUAUAUAGCUAAAAAAGUAAAAGCUAUAAAUAUGACUAGCAACAUAAGUAAUAAAGUUGAUUAUACAAACGAAAUAAGUGGUCCAGGGGUAGAAUUAAUUACUAAUAGACAUCAUGAUGGUGGUAGUUGUAGAAACAUGAGCAGCACAAGCAACAGUAUAAUCGGAAAUAGUAGCAUUAGCAAAACCAACGAAGCCAUUUUAAAAAAAGAAAAUUUUUGCUUAAAUUAUAGGAACCCGAUAAAUCAACUUAUCGUUCAUAUAAAAAGUAAAAUAUGUCAAAAAUUAAGAAAAAUAUUAAACAGGAGUGGGUACAUAGAAGUAUUUAGCCCAAAAUUGAUUCAAACUGAUACAAAAAAAAAAAAAAAAAAAGGAAAAAAAAAAGUAGAAACAGGAACAGAAACUAUAGGUGAAAGAAAUGCAAGUUCUAUUAACAUAUCUGAUUUAUACACGUAUACUAACAGUAUGAGUAAUGUCACUCCUUCGAAGAUAACUUCUUCUAAUAUUGUUAAUGAUAUUACUCAUUCAUAUAAAAUUAAUAAAUGUAAUGAAUCGAAUACAAAUGCAAAUACAAAUGCAAAUGCAAAUGCAAAUACAAAUGCAAAUACAAAUGCAAAUACAAAUACAAAUACAAAUGCAAAUACAAAUGCAAAUACAAAUGCAAAUACAAAUGCAAAUGCAAAUACAAAUGCAAAUACAAAUGCAAAUACAAAUACAAGUACAACCAUAGAAUUAAAUGGCACUGAAAGUGGUAGUAAUUGUUUUAAAAUUUGUGGAAACAAUUUGAUACUAGCACAAAGUCCUCAGUUUUAUAAACAAAUGAUCAUAAAUAGCGAUUUUGAAAAAAUAUUUGAAAUAAAUUUUGCUUAUCGAAACGAAGAAUUUCAUACAACUAGACAUCUAAAUGAAUAUACAUCAAUUGAUAUUGAACAAAACAUUUAUUCCAAUUAUUAUCAGCUUAUUUUAUAUUUAUAUACAAUUUUAAAAAAAAUUAAUACAUACUUAAACACAUAUUUGUAUAAAGAACUGCAGUUAAUCAGGUUGUCAAGCUGUACCAGUGGUAGUAGCAGUGGUAGUAGUAGUAGUAGUAGUAGUAGCAACAGUGGUAACUCCGAAAGCAAAACCAAAUCGGAUGAUAAACAACCUAUAUACUUCAGUAAACACACAAAUUUUGAGAAACAUAAAUUUUCGUGCAAUCCAAUAAUCUUAUCUUUUGUCGAAGCACAUAAUAUACUAAAC